This 253-nucleotide ribosomal RNA is filed under the name uncultured bacterium. RNAcentral describes it as "partial 16S ribosomal RNA". It matches the Rfam family "Bacterial small subunit ribosomal RNA", at positions 524 to 776 of the family's 1533-position model. The record is from RNAcentral.
UACGGGGGGGGCAAGCGUUGUUCGGAAUUACUGGGCGUAAAGGGUUCGUAGGUGGCUCGCUAAGUCAGACGUGAAAUCCCUCAGCUUAACUGGGGAACUGCGUCUGAUACUGGUUGGCUUGAGUGCAGGAGAGGAAUGCGGAAUUCCAGGUGUAGCGGUGAAAUGCGUAGAUAUCUGGAGGAACACCGGUGGCGAAGGCGGCAUUCUGGACUGCAACUGACACUGAAAGACGAAAGCCAGGGGAGCAAACGGG